AGCCAAGAGAUGGAGUAUCUUGGUGAAAUAUUGAGGCCAGUAUAAUUGGAUUGAAGAAGGGAAGUGUGAGAAGAAUGGAAAAGUAAGAAGAGUAGGUUAUGAAGGGAUUUGAAGAGACAGUCUCACAAGUAGGCUAUGUGAUUGAUGAUGACAUAAUGUGAUGAGGUUCUUUAUCAGAAUGGUGGAAGUAUCAGAGAAGAGAAGGGGUAUAUUUGAAGGACAUUGCAAAGGUGGAGUUAAUAAUUCUUGGCAACAAAUUGAAUAUAUGAGCUUUCCUCAAGUCAAAUCCCUUUUACGUCAUGGUCAUGCAACAAGUCUCUUUUGUAAAGGAUGAAAACUGGAAAAAGACCUCUCUCUCCACAUGCUAAAGUUGGCACAGAAGUGAAAACACUGGCACUAUACAGAAGCCUGGGGAAGAAUCCAAGAAAACAAUUAUCAUAGGCAUUUGCAUGCUGACCCAGGAGUUCAUGCAGCACGAAGACCUUGCUAUUCUUUCCAAGAAGAAUCAUUUCCUUUUUGGAAACCCAGGGGAGGCACAGAGUGGCAGAUUCCUUUCAACCCAAUGUACUGGGCCAUCUGCCAUCAGGACCAUUCAAACCCUGAGAGUCACCCUUAAUCGGUAAGCAGCAGAUGCAAUAUACAGCACUCAGAAAGCUAAGACACAGAAAAUAUGGAAAGGGGAAUAUACAUUUCCGAAGAGCUUUCUGCCAAAAAGACAAGGACAGAGAAGUAAGGGUACCUUUUGAAUUCUUCCAUCAAUAUCCAAAUAAAUUGCCUUGGGCCGCACCUGUUGAGAUCUUCCUCAGAGUGAAGCAACCUGUGCAGAGACAGAUACAGAUGGACUCUACAUCCUGAAAAUGCUGGAAAAAUCACAUUGCUGAAAUUGUUCCAGGGCUUGGUACUUGACCCUCAUUUGGACCUCAUUUGGAGUACAUAUGAUGGGAUAAUGUCAAGCACAUAUAAAUAAAUGUUAGUUGUUAUUUUUUUAUCCCUCCACAGCAUGGAAUACAAUAUUUUUAAGUUCUUUACAUUUUUUCCCCUGAAGACAUCAUUGGAUGAUAGUUUUGUAGGAAAAAAAUAUUUUUUUUUUCCAAUUGAGAUUGUCACAUGAUUCUGCUUGACUAAUUUAAGGCCAGUUGCAUAACCAAAUGUGCAGAAGCACAGGUAAAUGAUUAAAACAAUAACUCUAUUAAGACACAUGGAGAACAGGAUUUGAAUCUCUUUUAUAUAUCCAAUAUAGUAACAUGCAUACAUGGUUGAUAGUAAAUUAUUGGAGUCAGAAAAUACUGAAAUUAAUCAUUAGAAGAGAUUUAAAAUUUUGGUGGUGACAUAUAGUGGAAUCAUAUGUCCUUGUUAUACUAAUAUAUUGAUUCAGAGUAUGGAUUUGAAAUCACAGGAUCUAGGUUUAAAUAUUGGUUUUACUAACUUACUAUCUAUAAAACAUAAGCAAGUCACUUGGAUUUUCUUAAACUUCAGUUUUCUCAUUUAUAAAAUGAAAUGUAGGUAAGGUGGUCUGCAAGAAGCUCUUCCAACUCUGUAUUGUAUAAUCCUAUAAAUUUUCUUAUUUUCUUUCAACUAAAUCAGUAAAUAAUUCUUAUUCUUUGGUCACUAUAGCUACCUGAAUGAUUUAGAUGCCUGCUUAAGUUUUCAGUUUUUGCUAAUAUUUUUCUUCCUAAACUGUUCGAGAAGUCCCACAUCAUUUGUCUUUGUUAUCUUUCCCUUUAUGAAAUACAGUGCCUUUCUCUUAGGGGUAAUACACUGAUAAAUGCUUGUUGAAUCUUUGUGAAUUGAUAAGUCUAUGACCCCCUUGAAAUUCUGUAAUGCAGUGGUAAAAUAGACUGUAAGAUGUUGACCUAUAACACUUUAAGAUUAUUUGUAAAUAUGCUUCUUCAUAUUAUCUUGUGAGUUUAUGUAUGGUGAAUAAGUAAUUGAUAUAUUCUAAUAAUGGAUGAUAUAUAACAAUUGUUUUGAUUCUGUGUUCUUGGCAUUUUAAUUCAAAUGGGUAUGUUACUGAACUUCUUUGCAAUAUAUUAAAACAGGGGCAGCUAGGUGGUGCAGUCCUCCUGAAGUCAGGAGGACCUGAGUUCAA
This is a long non-coding RNA of Sarcophilus harrisii (Tasmanian devil), 2089 nucleotides long. RefSeq lists it as uncharacterized. The transcript has 4 exons. Lineage: Eukaryota; Metazoa; Chordata; Mammalia; Dasyuromorphia; Dasyuridae. The record is from RefSeq and is a predicted model, not a curated record.